Molecule: unclassified non-coding RNA, 231 nt
Filed under: plant metagenome
Description: partial contains small subunit ribosomal RNA, internal transcribed spacer 1, and 5.8S ribosomal RNA
Source: RNAcentral
UCUCCGUUGGUGAACCAGCGGAGGGAUCAUUACUGAGUUACCGCUCUACAACCCUUUGUGAACAUACCUAACUGUUGCUUGGGCGGGCAGAGGUCCCUCGCGGAUCCCCCCCGGCAACGCCCUCACGGGCGUAGCGCCCGCCUGAGGAUACCAAACUCUAUUUUAACGACGUUUCUUCUGAGUGGCCCACUCAACUAAUUAAAACUUUUAACAACGGAUCUCUUGGUUCUG